Pelobates cultripes (western spadefoot toad) is the source of this 479-nucleotide non-coding RNA. The record is from the annotation of a GenBank genome assembly. NCBI's taxonomy places the organism in Eukaryota, Metazoa, Chordata, Amphibia, Anura, Pelobatidae.
GUCCAAAAGUGUCUGUGUGUUUUAAAAUUAAAAACGAGCGUUUAUAAUUGAUAGUAUAAUUAGUGAUAUUGUAGGUUUGACAGAACACGUGAUCGCGACCUCCCGCGAUCCCGUGAUAUGAUAUCUGAGGAUUAUGGGAAAUGUAUGCCGGGGCUGAGAGACCGGCGCGAUUGUACACGCCCAUCUCUCAACGUCGGCAUACUAGUGGGAGGGCACUUGAAAGCCCUAGACAUCAAUGGACUGAAUGGCCAUUACAUAAUAAGGGGAAAGAGAAAGAAGACGACCCUGGGGAGAUAACAUUAGUGUCUGCCGGAAGGUGGGACCACCAUGCAGGGCGCCCGACAGAAUAAGGGCGCCCCACCUGGUGGCCACCCACCGGUAUUGCCAAUGGGAGGAGUAGGAGAGAAAUUUUUUUUUUUUAUUAAACUGACACAUACAGACUAGGAUAAUCUCCUUUAAAAAUCAGAAAUAGUAAUAAC